Molecule: non-coding RNA, 323 nt
Filed under: Campylobacter concisus 13826
Lineage: Bacteria; Pseudomonadati; Campylobacterota; Epsilonproteobacteria; Campylobacterales; Campylobacteraceae
Source: RNAcentral
GAGGCACGGCGUUAAGCCGAGUUCUGUCUUGAGCGAUCAUUUAUCUACGCUUGCUUUUACAAACAAGCUCUAGCGAAGGGUUUUAAUAUAAGACCAAAACCAUCCCUUCUUACUGCAAGUUGGGUUUAUAUGGCCACGCAAGUUACCAAGCGUGCCGGUGGGCUCUUACCCCGCCAUUUCACCUUUACCGCCAAGGCGGAAGUUUGCUUUCUGUUACACUAUCCCUUAGGUUUCCCUAGCCAUCCGUUAGAUGGAACUUUGUCUUAUCGCAGCUCGGACUUUCCUCUUUUGCAAGAUGCAAAAGCGACCGCUUACCGUGCCAG